RNAcentral lists this ribosomal RNA (713 nucleotides) under uncultured bacterium. Its description in RNAcentral is "bacterial SSU rRNA". It matches the Rfam family "Bacterial small subunit ribosomal RNA", at positions 28 to 732 of the family's 1533-position model. The record is from RNAcentral.
AUUGAACGCUGGCGGCAGGCCUAACACAUGCAAGUCGAGCGGUAGCACAGAGAGCUUGCUCUCGGGUGACGAGCGGCGGACGGGUGAGUAAUGUCUGGGAAACUGCCUGAUGGAGGGGGAUAACUACUGGAAACGGUAGCUAAUACCGCAUAACGUCGCAAGACCAAAGUGGGGGACCUUCGGGCCUCAUGCCAUCAGAUGUGCCCAGAUGGGAUUAGCUAGUAGGUGGGGUAAUGGCUCACCUAGGCGACGAUCCCUAGCUGGUCUGAGAGGAUGACCAGCCACACUGGAACUGAGACACGGUCCAGACUCCUACGGGAGGCAGCAGUGGGGAAUAUUGCACAAUGGGCGCAAGCCUGAUGCAGCCAUGCCGCGUGUAUGAAGAAGGCCUUCGGGUUGUAAAGUACUUUCAGCGAGGAGGAAGGCGAUAAGGUUAAUAACCUUGUCGAUUGACGUUACUCGCAGAAGAAGCACCGGCUAACUCCGUGCCAGCAGCCGCGGUAAUACGGAGGGUGCAAGCGUUAAUCGGAAUUACUGGGCGUAAAGCGCACGCAGGCGGUUUGCUAAGUCAGAUGUGAAAUCCCCGGGCUUAACCUGGGAACUGCAUUUGAAACUGGCAGGCUUGAGUCUUGUAGAGGGGGGUAGAAUUCCAGGUGUAGCGGUGAAAUGCGUAGAGAUCUGGAGGAAUACCGGUGGCGAAGGCGGCCCCCUGG